AGAGUUUGAUCAUGGCUCAGAUUGAACGCUGGCGGCAGGCCUAACACAUGCAAGUCGAGCGGUAGCACAGAGAGCUUGCUCUCGGGUGACGAGCGGCGGACGGGUGAGUAAUGUCUGGGAAACUGCCUGAUGGAGGGGGAUAACUACUGGAAACGGUAGCUAAUACCGCAUAACGUCGCAAGACCAAAGUGGGGGACCUUCGGGCCUCAUGCCAUCAGAUGUGCCCAGAUGGGAUUAGCUAGUAGGUGGGGUAACGGCUCACCUAGGCGACGAUCCCUAGCUGGUCUGAGAGGAUGACCAGCCACACUGGAACUGAGACACGGUCCAGACUCCUACGGGAGGCAGCAGUGGGGAAUAUUGCACAAUGGGCGCAAGCCUGAUGCAGCCAUGCCGCGUGUGUGAAGAAGGCCUUCGGGUUGUAAAGCACUUUCAGCGGGGAGGAAGGCGGUAAGGUUAAUAACCUCAGCGAUUGACGUUACCCGCAGAAGAAGCACCGGCUAACUCCGUGCCAGCAGCCGCGGUAAUACGGAGGGUGCAAGCGUUAAUCGGAAUUACUGGGCGUAAAGCGCACGCAGGCGGUCUGUCAAGUCGGAUGUGAAAUCCCCGGGCUCAACCUGGGAACUGCAUUCGAAACUGGCAGGCUAGAGUCUUGUAGAGGGGGGUAGAAUUCCAGGUGUAGCGGUGAAAUGCGUAGAGAUCUGGAGGAAUACCGGUGGCGAAGGCGGCCCCCUGGACAAAGACUGACGCUCAGGUGCGAAAGCGUGGGGAGCAAACAGGAUUAGAUACCCUGGUAGUCCACGCCGUAAACGAUGUCGAUUUGGAGGUUGUGCCCUUGAGGCGUGGCUUCCGGAGCUAACGCGUUAAAUCGACCGCCUGGGGAGUACGGCCGCAAGGUUAAAACUCAAAUGAAUUGACGGGGGCCCGCACAAGCGGUGGAGCAUGUGGUUUAAUUCGAUGCAACGCGAAGAACCUUACCUGGUCUUGACAUCCACAGAACUUUCCAGAGAUGGAUUGGUGCCUUCGGGAACUGUGAGACAGGUGCUGCAUGGCUGUCGUCAGCUCGUGUUGUGAAAUGUUGGGUUAAGUCCCGCAACGAGCGCAACCCUUAUCCUUUGUUGCCAGCGGUCCGGCCGGGAACUCAAAGGAGACUGCCAGUGAUAAACUGGAGGAAGGUGGGGAUGACGUCAAGUCAUCAUGGCCCUUACGACCAGGGCUACACACGUGCUACAAUGGCAUAUACAAAGAGAAGCGACCUCGCGAGAGCAAGCGGACCUCAUAAAGUAUGUCGUAGUCCGGAUUGGAGUCUGCAACUCGACUCCAUGAAGUCGGAAUCGCUAGUAAUCGUAGAUCAGAAUGCUACGGUGAAUACGUUCCCGGGCCUUGUACACACCGCCCGUCACACCAUGGGAGUGGGUUGCAAAAGAAGUAGGUAGCUUAACCUUCGGGAGGGCGCUUACCACUUUGUGAUUCAUGACUGGGGUGAAGUCGUAACAAGGUAACCGUAGGGGAACCUGCGGUUGGAUCACCU
RNAcentral lists this ribosomal RNA (1528 nucleotides) under Klebsiella pneumoniae. RNAcentral describes it as "bacterial SSU rRNA". It matches the Rfam family "Bacterial small subunit ribosomal RNA". Lineage: Bacteria; Pseudomonadati; Pseudomonadota; Gammaproteobacteria; Enterobacterales; Enterobacteriaceae. The record is from RNAcentral.